RNAcentral lists this ribosomal RNA (392 nucleotides) under uncultured bacterium. Its description in RNAcentral is "partial 16S ribosomal RNA". It matches the Rfam family "Bacterial small subunit ribosomal RNA", at positions 523 to 918 of the family's 1533-position model. The record is from RNAcentral.
AUACGGAGGAUCCGAGCGUUAUCCGGAUUUAUUGGGUUUAAAGGGUGCGCAGGCGGCCAUUUAAGUCAGCGGUUAAAUCGUGGGGCUCAACCCCAUUCUGCCGUUGAUACUGGGUGGCUUGAUUGCGGUCGAGGUUGGCGGAAUUCGUUGUGUAGCGGUGAAAUGCAUAGAUAUGACGAAGAACAUCGAUUGCGUAGGCAGCUGACCAGACCGCAAAUGACGCUCAUGCACGAAAGUGCGGGGAUCGAACAGGAUUAGAUACCCUGGUAGUCCGCACAGUAAACGAUGAAUACUUGUUUUCGGCGAUAUAAUGUCGGAGGCAAAGCGAAAGCGAUAAGUAUUCCACCUGGGGAGUACGCCGGCAACGGUGAAACUCAAAUGAAUUGACGGGG